AAGUCGUAACAAGGUUUCCGUAGGUGAACCUGCGGAAGGAUCAUUAUCGUGGGGCUUCGGCCCUCUCGAGAUAGAACCCUUGCCUUUUUGAGUACCUUCGUUUCCUCGGCAGGCUCGCCUGCCAAUGGGGACCCCAAUAAACCCUUUGUAAUACCUGUAAUCGUCUGACAAAACAAACAAAAAUUAAAACUUUCAACAACGGAUCUCUUGGUUCUG
RNAcentral lists this unclassified non-coding RNA (216 nucleotides) under Preussia flanaganii. RNAcentral describes it as "partial internal transcribed spacer region". The stretch from base 1 to 46 matches the Rfam family "Eukaryotic small subunit ribosomal RNA", at positions 1786 to 1831 of the family's 1831-position model. RNAcentral also lists the same sequence under 3 other names. Lineage: Eukaryota; Fungi; Ascomycota; Dothideomycetes; Pleosporales; Sporormiaceae. The record is from RNAcentral.